GUCACGGCUGCGCUGGGAGAAGGUGGAGCUCAUGCCUCUCAGAUGGAAUGGCUGCACCGUGGCUGGGAGGAGGCCUGUUCCUGCCUCAGCCAUGCGUCCCCAGGGCCACGCCACACCUCUCUUGGCUGCUGGGUGCCAGUGGUUGACACUGGAGUGUGAUUGGACAGCCAAGCGGGCCAAGUGGACGGAGCCCUGAUGAAG
RNAcentral lists this long non-coding RNA (201 nucleotides) under Homo sapiens (human). Its description in RNAcentral is "LNC_000685". Lineage: Eukaryota; Metazoa; Chordata; Mammalia; Primates; Hominidae. The record is from RNAcentral.